Molecule: ribosomal RNA, 502 nt
Filed under: uncultured bacterium
Lineage: Bacteria
Description: partial 16S ribosomal RNA
Rfam family: Bacterial small subunit ribosomal RNA
Source: RNAcentral
AUUGAACGCUGGCGGCAUGCCUUACACAUGCAUGUCGAACGGCAGCAUAGGAGCUUGCUCCUGAUGGCGAGUGGCGAACGGGUGAGUAAUAUAUCGGAACGUGCCCUAGAGUGGGGGAUAACUAGUCGAAAGACUAGCUAAUACCGCAUACGAUCUACGGAUGAAAGUGGGGGAUCGCAAGACCUCAUGCCCCUGGAGCGGCCGAUAUCUGAUUAGAAAGUUGGUGGGGCAAAAGCCUACCAAGGCGACGAUCAGUAGCUGGUCCGAAAGGACGAACAGCCACACUGGGACUGAGGCACGGCCCAGACUCCUACGGGAGGCAGCAGUGGGGAAUUUUGGACAAUGGGGGCAACCCUGAUCCAGCAAUGCCGCGUGAGUGAAGAAGGCCUUCGGGUUGCAAAGCUCUUUUGUCAGGGAAGAAACGGUAGUAGCUAAUAUCUAUUACUAAUGACGGUACCUGAAGAAUAAGCACCGGCUAACUACGUGCCAGCAGCCGCCGUAA